Molecule: unclassified non-coding RNA, 253 nt
Filed under: uncultured Alphaproteobacteria bacterium
Lineage: Bacteria; Pseudomonadati; Pseudomonadota; Alphaproteobacteria
Description: contains 16S-23S intergenic spacer region
Rfam family: Bacterial small subunit ribosomal RNA
Source: RNAcentral
UACGAAGGGGGCUAGCGUUGCUCGGAAUCACUGGGCGUAAAGCGCACGUAGGCGGCCUCUUAAGUCAGGGGUGAAAUCCCGGGGCUCAACCCCGGAACUGCCUUUGAUACUGGGUGUCUAGAGUCCGGAAGAGGUGAGUGGAAUUCCGAGUGUAGAGGUGAAAUUCGUAGAUAUUCGGAGGAACACCAGUGGCGAAGGCGGCUCACUGGUCCGGUACUAACGCUGAGGUGCGAAAGCGUGGGGAGCAAACAGG